This 690-nucleotide ribosomal RNA is filed under the name uncultured bacterium. RNAcentral describes it as "bacterial SSU rRNA". It matches the Rfam family "Bacterial small subunit ribosomal RNA", at positions 224 to 930 of the family's 1533-position model. The record is from RNAcentral.
GAUGGCCUCGCGUCUGAUUAGCUAGUUGGUGAGGUAACGGCCCACCAAGGCGACGAUCAGUAGCCGGACUGAGAGGUUGGCCGGCCACAUUGGGACUGAGAUACGGCCCAGACUCCUACGGGAGGCAGCAGUGGGGAAUAUUGCACAAUGGGCGAAAGCCUGAUGCAGCAACGCCGCGUGAAGGAAGACGGUUUUCGGAUUGUAAACUUCUGUUCUUAGUGAAGAAUAAUGACGGUAACUAAGGAGCAAGCCACGGCUAACUACGUGCCAGCAGCCGCGGUAAUACGUAGGUGGCAAGCGUUGUCCGGAAUUACUGGGUGUAAAGGGAGCGUAGGCGGGAAGCCAAGUCAGCUGUGAAAACUACGGGCUUAACCUGUAGACUGCAGUUGAAACUGGCUUUCUUGAGUGAAGUAGAGGUUGGCGGAAUUCCGAGUGUAGCGGUGAAAUGCGUAGAUAUUCGGAGGAACACCGGUGGCGAAGGCGGCCAACUGGGCUUUAACUGACGCUGAGGCUCGAAAGUGUGGGGAGCAAACAGGAUUAGAUACCCUGGUAGUCCACACUGUAAACGAUGAUAACUAGGUGUGGGGGGUCUGACCCCUUCCGUGCCGCAGCUAACGCAAUAAGUUAUCCACCUGGGGAGUACGACCGCAAGGUUGAAACUCAAAGGAAUUGACGGGGACCCGCACAAGC